GAUGAACGCUGGCGGCGUGCCCAAUACAUGCAAGUCGAGCGAACAGAUGAGGAGCUUGCUCCUCUGACGUUAGCGGCGGACGGGUGAGUAACACGUGGAUAACCUACCUAUAAGACUGGGAUAACUUCGGGAAACCGGAGCUAAUACCGGAUAAUAUAUUGAACCGCAUGGUUCAAUAGUGAAAGACGGUUUUGCUGUCACUUAUAGAUGGAUCCGCGCCGCAUUAGCUAGUUGGUAAGGUAACGGCUUACCAAGGCAACGAUGCGUAGCCGACCUGAGAGGGUGACGGGGCACACGGGAACUGAGACACGGUACGGGCUCCUACGGGAGGCACCAGUAGGGAAUUGUCCGCAAUGGGCGAAAGCCUGACGGAGCAACGCCGCGUGAGUGAUGAAGGUCUUCGGAUCGUAAAACUCUGUUAUUAGGGAAGAACAAAUGUGUAAGUAACUAUGCACGUCUUGACGGUACCUAAUCAGAAAGCCACGGCUAACUACGUG
Molecule: ribosomal RNA, 497 nt
Filed under: uncultured bacterium
Lineage: Bacteria
Description: partial 16S ribosomal RNA
Rfam family: Bacterial small subunit ribosomal RNA
Source: RNAcentral